GACGAACGCUGGCGGCGUGCCUAAUACAUGCAAGUUGAGCGAUGAAGAUUGGUGCUUGCACCAAUUUGAAGAGCAGCGAGCGGGUGAGUAACGCGUGGGGAAUCUGCCUUUGAGCGGGGGACAACAUUUGGAAACGAAUGCUAAUACCGCAUAACAACUUUAAACAUAAGUUUUAAGUUUGAAAGAUGCAAUUGCAUCACUCAAAGAUGAUCCCGCGUUGUAUUAGCUAGUUGGUGAGGUAAAGGCUCACCAAGGCGAUGAUACAUAGCCGACCUGAGAGGGUGGACGGCCACAUUGGGACUGAGACACCGCCCAAACUCCUACGGGAGGCAGCAGUAGGGGAUCUUCGGCAAUGGGCGAAAGUCUGACCGAGCAACGCCGCGUGAGUGAAGAAGGUUUUCGGAUCGUAAAACUCUGUUGGUAGGGAAGAACGUUGGUGAGAGUGGAAAGCUCAUCAAGUGACGGUAACUACCCAGAAAGGGACGGCUAACUACGUG
This 497-nucleotide ribosomal RNA is filed under the name uncultured bacterium. RNAcentral describes it as "partial 16S ribosomal RNA". It matches the Rfam family "Bacterial small subunit ribosomal RNA", at positions 28 to 507 of the family's 1533-position model. The record is from RNAcentral.